This 585-nucleotide ribosomal RNA is filed under the name uncultured bacterium. RNAcentral's name for it is "partial 16S ribosomal RNA". It matches the Rfam family "Bacterial small subunit ribosomal RNA", at positions 355 to 937 of the family's 1533-position model. The record is from RNAcentral.
UGGGGAAUUUUGGACAAUGGGCGCAAGCCUGAUCCAGCCAUGCCGCGUGCGGGAAGAAGGCCUUCGGGUUGUAAACCGCUUUUGUCAGGGAAGAAAUCUUCUGAGUUAAUACCUCGGGAGGAUGACGGUACCUGAAGAAUAAGCACCGGCUAACUACGUGCCAGCAGCCGCGGUAAUACGUAGGGUGCAAGCGUUAAUCGGAAUUACUGGGCGUAAAGCGUGCGCAGGCGGUUUUGUAAGACAGAGGUGAAAUCCCCGGGCUCAACCUGGGAACUGCCUUUGUGACUGCAAGGCUUGAGUGCGGCAGAGGGGGGAUGGAAUUCCGCGUGUAGCAGUGAAAUGCGUAGAUAUGCGGAGGAACACCGAUGGCGAAGGCAAUCCCCUGGGCCUGCACUGACGCUCAUGCACGAAAGCGUGGGGAGCAAACAGGAUUAGAUACCCUGGUAGUCCACGCCCUAAACGAUGUCAACUGGUUGUUGGGAAGGUUCCUUCUCAGUAACGUAGCUAACGCGUGAAGUUGACCGCCUGGGGAGUACGGCCGCAAGGUUGAAACUUAAAUGAAUUGACGGGGUCAUAGCUGUUUCC